CCAAGCAGUUUAAUUCUGACUAAUUAAUUAAACAAAAAUGAAUCUCACAGAAAAACUCCUAAAUAAACAAACAUAAUAAAUUAUUUCUAAUGAUUAGUAUUAAAAAGCAGCUAAACUGACCCUUGCAUUAAAUCUGACCCAACAAGUGCCAGCAAUCGCGGUUAAACCUGGAGAAGAAAAUUAACUUACCAACUCAGAAUUAUAACCAACAACCUUAUCUCAUAAUAUUGGUAAAAUAAACACUAUGAAAUAACUACCAAAAUAAUUCAAAAACUUGGAUAAUAAAAAAGGAUUAGAUACCCUUGUAUUCCGAAAAUAAAAAAGAGCAAGGUAGUAAAAGAUUCAACUCUUAAAACCUUAAGAAUUUGGCAGCAUUAUUGUAACUUCCGAGAAACUUGUUACAUAAUCGUCAACACACGAUCUACCUUACCUUAUCUAUGCUUGUGUACAACCGGUCAAUUGGCCAACCCUAGUUCCCAAUGCCAAGAACUCACAACCCUCCCAACCCCAGGUCAAUGUGCAGCUUUUUAAGGAGAUAAUGAGUUACAUUAUUAAAAAAUGCAGAUAAUUACUUAAAAAUAAUUGAAGAUGAAUCGGAUAGUAAAUGUUAAUUUAGAAUUUAACUCUGAAAAUCAACACUAUGUGCACAAAUCGCCCGUCAUUCUCAUCAAAACUGAGACAAGUCGUAACAAAGUAGGCCUACCUGAAGGUGGUCCUAAAAUAUC
Molecule: ribosomal RNA, 725 nt
Filed under: Cymothoa indica
Lineage: Eukaryota; Metazoa; Arthropoda; Malacostraca; Isopoda; Cymothoidae
Description: 12S ribosomal RNA
Source: RNAcentral